This 230-nucleotide ribosomal RNA is filed under the name uncultured bacterium. Its description in RNAcentral is "partial 16S ribosomal RNA". It matches the Rfam family "Bacterial small subunit ribosomal RNA", at positions 562 to 791 of the family's 1533-position model. The record is from RNAcentral.
AAAGCGUGCGCAGGCGGUUAUACAAGACAGGCGUGAAAUCCCCGGGCUUAACCUGGGAAUGGCGUCUGUGACUGUAUGACUAGAGUGUGUCAGAGGGGGGUAGAAUUCCACGUGUAGCAGUGAAAUGCGUAGAUAUGUGGAGGAAUACCAAUGGCGAAGGCAGCCCCCUGGGAUAACACUGACGCUCAUGCACGAAAGCGUGGGGAGCAAACAGGAUUAGAUACCCGUGU